CACAAGCCAGCCCUCAAGACACGGAGGGAAGCUGGGGGAGCAGCCCCUGGAUCUACGCGCCGGCCGGCUGCCAGGCCCCGCCACGGCAGCACCACGCCAACCAACCCCUCACAGCGGCCAACCCCCCGUACGGACGGCCACGGCCUGCCCUGGAGCCGGACCGCGCCGCGCCUGCGCCCUGCGGGAACACGGGGCGGAAGCGAGCGCUGAGGGAAGGGGCGUGUCGCCAUGGCGACCGCGGCGGAGGGGCUGUCUGAGGCUGGCGUGCAGCCCGCCAAGCAAGAUACUGCUAUUGAAACAGCAGAGGAAGCUAAGGAACCAGCAGAGGCAGACAUCAAUGAACUCUGUAAAGACAUGUUCAACAAAAUGGCCACUUAUUUAACAGGUGAACUGACAGGCACCAGUGAAGACUACAAACUCUUGGAAAACAUGAAUAAGCUGACUAGCUUGAAGUACCUAGAAAUGAAAGAUAUUGCUAUAAACAUCAGUAGAAAUCUGAAAGAUUUAAAUAAAAAAUAUGCUGCUCUUCAGCCAUAUCUGGAACAAAUCAACUUAAUUGAGGAACAAGUUGCAGCUCUGGAGCAGGCAGCUUAUAAAUUGGAUGCAUAUUCAAAAAAACUUGAAGCCAAAUACAAGAAACUGGAGAAACGAUGAAAUUUCAACAGUCUUGGAGUUGGGCUAUGAGUCAAACUGAUUUCUGUUGAAGUGGCACAGCAGCAGUUCUGUAUGUUGACAAGGAUUUGGUUGCAACUAACAUCAAAACUGCUCCUGGGUUCAGACCCAUCUCCGGCCCGGCUGGGCCAAUCUGGUGCCUCUGCCAUCACUAUUUAUGGGACAGGAAUUUGAAGUGCUGGCAGGAGGUGUAAGAGUGAUACAAGAUGGAGGCGACCACACAGACCCCACAGUCAGAGAAGGAGGAAGGAAGGAGGAGCACCAGAACAGAGACCCCUCUGCAAGCCAUGGUGAGAAUGCAGCUGUACCCUUGCAACCCAUGCAGGGCCAUGGCAGGGCUGAGGCCGUGUUGGAGAGCCUGCACGCCACAGAGCAGCCCCACAGGAGAGGCAGAGAGGAGCUGCAGCCUUUGGGAUAAAUGCACCUCGGAGCAGCCUGUGCAGGGCUGCCGUGUGUGUGGGGUACCCACGGACUUGCAGGGAGGACUGGUGUGGAACCCACCUGCCCUGAGGAGGAACAAAAGCAGAAGCCAUCAGGAAUAGACUGACUGAAACCCCCACUCCCUGCCCCCCUGGGUCGUUCAGCGGGGAGGAGGUAAAAACACCAGGAUCAAGGCUCUGAGCUCGGGAAGAGAAUAGGAGUGGGGAGAAGGUGGUUUUAAAAGGCUGGUUGGACUCUUCAUCAUUGUACCACUCUGUGUUGUUUUAUUUUGGCUAUGUUUUGGGGUUUUAAGGUUAUGCUUUAGUUGGUAUUGCAUUAAAUUAUUUUU
Molecule: RNA transcript, 1441 nt
Organism: Colius striatus (speckled mousebird)
Lineage: Eukaryota; Metazoa; Chordata; Aves; Coliiformes; Coliidae
Gene: BLOC1S2
Gene name: biogenesis of lysosomal organelles complex 1 subunit 2
Exons: 6
Source: RefSeq, a predicted model, not a curated record